AGGUACGUGCAUCGCGUGUUCUCAUUUUUGUCUGUAAAUAGGGUUGGCGAAAUGCGCAUCUGCAGUGAGAGAUCAAGGUAAGAAUACAAGUAUCAUCUUUAUUUGUAUUUCUUGAUAAAAGAAAUGGAAUGCUUUAACUGACCUUAUUUGAUUCUGCCAAUGGUAUUGUUUGAUGAUGCUUAAGUCAUCAAGUUUAAGCCGUUCUUUUAGGUGAGAAUACUUUGUAAUAGUGUAUUCAUUAUAACUAGGCCAACAACAACAACAAAAACGUACACAGUGAAGGUAGAGAGGUUCCGAAAGACCCACGGCUCAAGUGCAGCUUCAUGAUAACUUGGCUGAAUUGCCUAAUUGACACCUCUACUUGUCUCGGUUUGAUAUCCCGCCCCCAUAUUCUACGGGUGUUCAAGUGGACACCUCUAACUAGCUAGUCUGAUCUGUUAAUAGUGACAUCAACAAUGACAUCAUUUGGUAAGUGAAAUCUGUGAGAAGCAAUGUGAUACCUAUACUGGUGGGAGAUAGCAUGUACCCGAUGAAAUUGUCGAGGUGCAUGGAAUCUGGUCUGGACAUUGCUGUCAUUCAAGAGGAUAUAGUCAAGGUGCACGGAAAUUGGUUCGGACAUCAUUGUCAUCCUCUACAAUUGAGGAUUUUCCUUGAUUAUACUGUAUGAUAUUCAUUCAUUCAUUCAAAGAAGUUAAGAG
Molecule: long non-coding RNA, 698 nt
Filed under: Capsicum annuum
Lineage: Eukaryota; Viridiplantae; Streptophyta; Magnoliopsida; Solanales; Solanaceae
Description: long non-coding RNA (CANN_LNC019991)
Source: RNAcentral